AUUGAACGCUGGCGGCAUGCCUUACACAUGCAAGUCGAACGGUAACAGGUUAAGCUGACGAGUGGCGAACGGGUGAGUAAUGUAUCGGAACGUGCCCAGUCGUGGGGGAUAACUGCUCGAAAGAGCAGCUAAUACCGCAUACGACCUGAGGGUGAAAGCGGGGGAUCGCAAGACCUCGCGCGAUCGGAGCGGCCGAUAUCAGAUUAGGUAGUUGGUGAGGUAAAGGCUCACCAAGCCGACGAUCUGUAGCUGGUCUGAGAGGACGACCAGCCACACUGGGACUGAGACACGGCCCAGACUCCUACGGGAGGCAGCAGUGGGGAAUAUUGGACAAUGGGCGCAAGCCUGAUCCAGCCAUGCCGCGUGCGGGAAGAAGGCCUUCGGGUUGUAAAACGCUUUUGUCAGGGAAGAAAAGGUUCUGGCUAAUACCUGGGACUCAUGACGGUACCUGAAGAAUAAGCACCGGCUAACUACGUG
RNAcentral lists this ribosomal RNA (477 nucleotides) under uncultured bacterium. Its description in RNAcentral is "partial 16S ribosomal RNA". It matches the Rfam family "Bacterial small subunit ribosomal RNA", at positions 30 to 507 of the family's 1533-position model. The record is from RNAcentral.